This 373-nucleotide ribosomal RNA is filed under the name uncultured bacterium. RNAcentral's name for it is "bacterial SSU rRNA". It matches the Rfam family "Bacterial small subunit ribosomal RNA", at positions 28 to 404 of the family's 1533-position model. The record is from RNAcentral.
GACGAACGCUGGCGGCGUGCUUAACACAUGCAAGUCGAACGGUGAAGCCUUUCGGGGUGGAUCAGUGGCGAACGGGUGAGUAACACGUGAGUAAUCUGCCCUUGACUCUGGGAUAACUUCGGGAAACCGGAGCUAAUACCGGAUAUGACGCAUGGCCGAGUGGUCUGUGUGUGGAAAGAUUUUUUGGUCAGGGAUGAGCUCGCGGCCUAUCAGCUUGUUGGUGGGGUAANGGCCUACCAAGGCGACGACGGGUAGCCGGCCUGAGAGGGCGACCGGCCACACUGGGACUGAGACACGGCCCAGACUCCUACGGGAGGCAGCAGUGGGGAAUAUUGCGCAAUGGGCGAAAGCCUGACGCAGCGACGCCGCGUGA